CCUACGGGUGGCAGCAGUGAGGAAUAUUGGUCAAUGGACGAGAGUCUGAACCAGCCAAGUAGCGUGAAGGAUGACUGCCCUAUGGGUUGUAAACUUCUUUUAUAUGGGAAUAAAAUGUUCCACGUGUGGGAUUUUGUAUGUACCAUAUGAAUAAGGAUCGGCUAACUCCGUGCCAGCAGCCGCGGUAAUACGGAGGAUCCGAGCGUUAUCCGGAUUUAUUGGGUUUAAAGGGAGCGGAGGGGGUGUGUUAAGUCAGUUGUGAAAGGUCUGGGCUCAACCGUAAAAUUGCAGUUGAAACUGGCAGUGUUGAGUACAGGAGAGGUAGGCGGAAUUCGUGGUGUAGCGGUGAAAUGCUUAGAUAUCACGAAGAACUCCGAUUGCGAAGGCAGUUCACGGGACUGCAACUGACACUGAGGCUCGAAAGUGUGGGUAUCAAACAGGAUUAGAUACCCUAGUAGUC
This 460-nucleotide ribosomal RNA is filed under the name uncultured bacterium. RNAcentral describes it as "partial 16S ribosomal RNA". It matches the Rfam family "Bacterial small subunit ribosomal RNA", at positions 338 to 795 of the family's 1533-position model. The record is from RNAcentral.